UCUGUGGGCAGAUGGACCACAGGAAUCAGGUCCUGCCUUUGCUGUCUGAGUUCUUCUGUAGGUGUAAAUUGGACCCUCAGCACCUUAGUUUCCCUGUGUUGGGAAAACUGGACAACCAGCCUCUGUCCAUGGGAACAGCAACAGUGAACAGCAGUGGCCG
This is a long non-coding RNA of Balaenoptera acutorostrata (minke whale), 160 nucleotides long. RefSeq lists it as uncharacterized. NCBI's taxonomy places the organism in Eukaryota, Metazoa, Chordata, Mammalia, Artiodactyla, Balaenopteridae. The transcript is spliced from 3 exons. The record is from RefSeq and is a predicted model, not a curated record.